RNAcentral lists this ribosomal RNA (424 nucleotides) under uncultured Bacteroidales bacterium. RNAcentral's name for it is "bacterial SSU rRNA". It matches the Rfam family "Bacterial small subunit ribosomal RNA", at positions 355 to 776 of the family's 1533-position model. The record is from RNAcentral. Lineage: Bacteria; Pseudomonadati; Bacteroidota; Bacteroidia; Bacteroidales.
UGAGGAAUAUUGGUCAAUGGGCGCAAGCCUGAACCAGCCAUCCCGCGUGCAGGAAGACGGCCCUAUGGGUUGUAAACUGCUUUUCCAGGGGGAGAAUUUUUCUGUCGUGACAGGAAUUGACGGUACCCUGGGAAUAAGCAUCGGCUAACUCCGUGCCAGCAGCCGCGGUAAUACGGAGGAUGCGAGCGUUAUCCGGAUUUAUUGGGUUUAAAGGGUGCGUAGGCGGAUUGAUAAGUCAGUGGUGAAAACCUGCAGCUUAACUGUAGACUUGCCGUUGAUACUGUCAGUCUUGAGUAUGGUCAAGGUAGGCGGAAUGUGUAAUGUAGCGGUGAAAUGCUUAGAUAUUACACAGAACACCGAUUGCGAAGGCAGCUUACUGGGCCAUUACUGACGCUGAUGCACGAAAGCGUGGGGAUCGAACAGG